RNAcentral lists this ribosomal RNA (487 nucleotides) under uncultured bacterium. RNAcentral's name for it is "bacterial SSU rRNA". It matches the Rfam family "Bacterial small subunit ribosomal RNA", at positions 28 to 507 of the family's 1533-position model. The record is from RNAcentral.
GAUGAACGCUAGCGACAGGCUUAACACAUGCAAGUCGAGGGGCAGCACAGGGUAGCAAUACUUGGGUGGCGACCGGCGCACGGGUGAGUAACGCGUAUGCAACUUACCUAUCAGAGGGGGAUAGCCCGGCGAAAGUCGGAUUAAUACCCCAUGAAACAGGGGUCCCGCAUGGGAAUAUUUGUUAAAGAUUCAUCGCUGAUAGAUAGGCAUGCGUUCCAUUAGGCAGUUGGCGGGGUAACGGCCCACCAAACCGACGAUGGAUAGGGGUUCUGAGAGGAGGGUCCCCCACAUUGGAACUGAGACACGGUCCAAACUCCUACGGGAGGCAGCAGUGAGGAAUAUUGGUCAAUGGACGAGAGUCUGAACCAGCCAAGUAGCGUGAAGGAUGACUGCCCUAUGGGUUGUAAACUUCUUUUAUACGGGAAUAAAGUGAGGCACGUGUGCCUUUUUGUAUGUACCGUAUGAAUAAGGAUCGGCUAACUCCGUG